RNAcentral lists this ribosomal RNA (253 nucleotides) under uncultured bacterium. RNAcentral describes it as "partial 16S ribosomal RNA". It matches the Rfam family "Bacterial small subunit ribosomal RNA", at positions 524 to 776 of the family's 1533-position model. The record is from RNAcentral.
UACAGAGGGUGCGAGCGUUGUCCGGAAUCACUGGGCGUAAAGGGCGCGUAGGCGGCCUGAUAAGUAGGGGGUGAAAUCCUGUGGCUUAACUGCAGGGCUGCCUCCUAGACUGUUAGGCUCGAGCACGGUAGAGGCAGAUGGAAUUCCCGGUGUAGCGGUGGAAUGCGUAGAGAUCGGGAAGAACAUCGGUGGCGAAGGCGGUCUGCUGGGCCGUUGCUGACGCUGAGGCGCGACAGCGUGGGGAGCAAACGGG